AUUGCAUAGUGUGGAUAUUUUCUGAUGAGGUCCUUAAGCCUUUCCCAUGUUUCAUGAAACAUCUCUCCAUCCAUUUGAAAGAAACCGGUGAUGGCUUUCCUAAUUU
Small nucleolar RNA from Elaeis guineensis (African oil palm), 106 nucleotides. Lineage: Eukaryota; Viridiplantae; Streptophyta; Magnoliopsida; Arecales; Arecaceae. The record is from RefSeq and is a predicted model, not a curated record.